Betta splendens (Siamese fighting fish) is the source of this 999-nucleotide long non-coding RNA. RefSeq lists it as uncharacterized. The transcript has 2 exons. The record is from RefSeq and is a predicted model, not a curated record. Lineage: Eukaryota; Metazoa; Chordata; Actinopteri; Anabantiformes; Osphronemidae.
GCCAACCCACAAUGCAGCGCGUUGUUUUGAAAACGUGCCUCGAAGUUUGCUGGUUCGAGCUGAACAACGUGUUUCUUAAGUCGCAAAGGUAACGUGGACCUUGACAGCUGUUGGUUUUGUUUCUUUCACCACCAAAACCGAAAAAUGUGACUGUUAUUUUUAAGAUUAUUAAUUAUAGCAACUUUACAUCAAGUAGCAUCAUUCUUGGCAAUGAAGAAAAGCUCCGAACCCGUGAAAGACGAGACGCUGUCCGUCGUGGAUGAGAAACCUCAAACAGGGACAUCGGUCCAAUUACCCUGUGAUCGCUGUGAGCCAGCUGACGUUCUAGGUAAAGGAUCUUUACCGUAAAUCCCGGUUCCCAAGCUGACGGGGCUCUGAGGACCUCCAGGGCUCCUUGAGACUGUUCCAGGAAGUUCAAGUGUAGUUCAAACAUACUCAUUUGAAGAAGCCAUUACAGGAAGACAUUAUAAGGUGAUUCAUUCAUGAGGUCACAUCUAUCACAUGAGCUUCUGCUUGUCUGUUGCCAUUUGGAUGAAUAACUGUGGAGACCUCAACCAACAAGGUGCCGAAUUAGAUUUCCAGGACAAACUUUAAUACUUUUAUUUUCAUGGAGGCAGAUUUGUGAUACACCACAACUCCAGGUUGUGUUUGACCUUACAGUACAAUAUUUUUUUACCUUUUAAUUAUUAGACCGAGGUUAGAAGUGGUCUCGUCUACUUCUGUCCUGUUUUUUCCAGUUUGAAGUUUUAACACUGAAUCCUUUUUUUAGAAGUAGAAAAAAUAUCUUUCAUAUGUAAAUUUGAAAAGGGCAGGCGGCAAUUUGUUCGCUCAGAGACUCUAAACAAAAAUGGAAGGCGUGCUUUCACAUAUUGUCAUCAGAGUUAAUGUGCCCCAUUGUUGUUGUACCUUUUUCAGAUUGCUGCAAAGUGAAGAAUGACCUCUGAUUAAUGUGUUGGAAUAUUAAAAUAAAACCCCUUUGGGAGAUAACACUAAAACCAA